GGGACGGUUCUCGGGAUUAUUGGGCGUAAGCGCGCGCAGGUGGUUCCUUAAGUCUGAUGUGAAAGCCCACGCGCUCAACCGUAGGAGGGUCAUUUGAAACUGGGGAACUUGAGUGCAGAAGAGGAAAAUGGAAUUCCAAGUGUAGCGGUGAAAUGCGUAGAGAUUUGGAGGAACACCAGUGGCGAAGGCGACUUUCUGGUCUGUAACUGACACUGAGGCGCGAAAGCGUGGGGAGCGAACAGGAUUAGAUACCCUGGUAGUCCACGCCGUAAACGAUGAGUGCUAAGUGUUAGAGGGUUUCCGCCCUUUAGUGCUGCAGCAAACGCAUUAAGCACUCCGCCUGGGGAGUACGACCGCAAGGUUGAAACUCAAAGGAAUUGACGGGGGCCCGCACAAGCGGUGGAGCAUGUGGUUUAAUUCGAAGCAACGCGAAGAACCUUACCAGGUCUUGACAUCCUCUGACAAUCCUAGAGAUAGGACGUUCCCCUUCGGGGGACAGAGUGACAGGUGGUGCAUGGUUGUCGUCAGCUCGUGUCGUGAGAUGUUGGGUUAAGUCCCGCAACGAGCGCAACCCUUGAUCUUAGUUGCCAGCAUUCAGUUGGGCACUCUAAGGUGACUGCCGGUGACAAACCGGAGGAAGGUGGGGAUGACGUCAAAUCAUCAUGCCCCUUAUGACCUGGGCUACACACGUGCUACAAUGGAUGGUACAAAGGGCUGCAAGACCGCGAGGUUUAGCCAAUCCCAUUAAAACCAUUUCUCAGUUUCGGAUUGCAGGCUGCAACUCGCCUGCAUGAAGCCGGAAUCGCUAGUAAUCGCGGAUCAGCAUGCCCGGGUGAAAUACGUUCCCGGGGCCUUGUACACACCGCCCGUCACACCACGAGAGUUUGUAACACCCGAAGUCGGUGGGGUAACCUUUUGGAGCCAGCCGCCUAAGGUGGGACAGAUGAUUGGGGUGAAGCUAGAGGGGGGCCCCCGCAUAAAAGGGGGGAGCUCUUACCCCGGUG
This 1004-nucleotide ribosomal RNA is filed under the name Bacillus sp. GU6. RNAcentral describes it as "bacterial SSU rRNA". It matches the Rfam family "Bacterial small subunit ribosomal RNA", at positions 535 to 1533 of the family's 1533-position model. Lineage: Bacteria; Bacillati; Bacillota; Bacilli; Caryophanales; Bacillaceae. The record is from RNAcentral.